CGCUAGCUACAGGCUUAACACAUGCAAGUCGAGGGGUAGCAGGGUAGCAAUACCGCUGACGACCGGCGCACGGGUGAGUAACACGUAUUCAACCUUCCCAUAACUCGGGGAUAGCCUUUCGAAAGAAAGAUUAAUACCCGAUAGUACUUUUUUAGGGCAUCUUAGAAAAGUUAAAGAUUUAUUGGUUAUGGAUGGGGAUGCGUUCCAUUAGAUAGUUGGUGAGGUAACGGCUCACCAAGUCUUCGAUGGAUAGGGGUUCUGAGAGGAAGGUCCCCCACAUUGGUACUGAGACACGGACCAAACUCCUACGGGAGGCAGCAGUGAGGAAUAUUGGUCAAUGGGCGAGAGCCUGAACCAGCCAAGUAGCGUGAAGGAUGACGG
This 381-nucleotide ribosomal RNA is filed under the name uncultured Bacteroidales bacterium. Its description in RNAcentral is "bacterial SSU rRNA". It matches the Rfam family "Bacterial small subunit ribosomal RNA", at positions 34 to 414 of the family's 1533-position model. Lineage: Bacteria; Pseudomonadati; Bacteroidota; Bacteroidia; Bacteroidales. The record is from RNAcentral.